Molecule: long non-coding RNA, 8755 nt
Filed under: Marmota monax (woodchuck)
Lineage: Eukaryota; Metazoa; Chordata; Mammalia; Rodentia; Sciuridae
Source: RNAcentral
CAGAAUUCAAAGAGACCAGGCAACUUACUGGAGUUGGUGGUAUAAAAUGAUGCUACUGAAUGUAGCCAAUACCUUCCAGGAAGUGUUUUAGAAAUGCGAAUUUCUGGGCCCUUCCAGGUCCUACUUUAAUAGAAACCCUGGAGAUGGAGCCCAGUCAUCUGUUUUUUUAAAGAGCCUUCCUCUUGAUGCAUGGAAAGUUUGAGAUGUUCUGGAACAUGGCUUCUGGAACAGUGAUGUCUUGGCCAUUUGUGAGGUGUGUGGAAAGUAAUUUAUUAUUAAUCAUAGUUAACAUACUGACAUUUGUCAAUAAUUCAUAUGUGUGUCACCUGCAAAGAUUUUUUUAAAAAGAUACAGUUCCCAAGCUCCACCCAAUUCCAGGGGAGCCAAAGCCUCCAGGGGUGGUAGCCAGGAAUGUACACUGUUUUAAAGUUCCUCAGUGGCUCUUAGGAGGAGAAGCCAGGUGCAGGAACACUGGUCUAUAAGAACCAUUUGCCUCUUAACAAAGAAAAGAAAGCAUGGCAUUCUGGAGGAGGUCCCUCGGUGAGCAGGUCCUCCCUCCCUCCAGCAAAUCUUAGGUAGAUCCCUAUUUUUAAAACACACAGAAAAAAAAAACUCCUCUGGCUACAGCAGAAAAGGGUGCUCAGCACCUUCCCCUUCUGGAGUGGCUGUGGUGGCCCUUCACAAAUGCCUGCAGCUCCCCAAAUCAUGACUUGAAAACUACAGCUGGUUCUCCCACCGCACCCUCCCCCUGCCACAUAUGCCCUAUUUACUGAUGAAGAAACUGAGGUUCGAAAAAGUAAAAUGACCUGAUCAGACUAGAAAAGCACAUGAAUGACCAUCUAGAUUUGCCAGGGACUAAGGGGUUCCCAGGGCAAGUGACAUUCAGCAUUAAAACAGGGACAGUCCCAGACAAGAAGAAGAGUUGGUCUCCCUAGUGCAGAGCCUAUCCUCUCCCACAGUUCUUGCUCUUGGGAUAGGUCUGUAUGAUGCCAUAAUACUGCAAGAAGAAUCAGAUUACUAUUGUUUUCUUUCUAACAACAUUGUUUCUAUUCCCUCACUCCAGAAGGACUUAAAGGAAUAAUACCAUCGAUUUAUGUUUUCAAAAUACUCUUUGUACUCUUUCCUCAUGGUCAUGUCAGCUCCUAUUUUACAAGUUUUCAGAUCCAAUAUGCCAUAUAAAUCUCUCUGGCUUCUCUAAAUUUCCAUGAUAUUUGCCAUCAUACCUAUUGCAGCUUACCAAGAUCUGUGUUAUAAAUCUUUAGGUUGCCAGUAAAAGAUACAUAACUUCUAAAAUCUUAAGUAAACCAAAGGAAGAAGUAUAUUGGUUCAUGCAACAGAAAAAAAGCUUUGGUUGCAGCUGGAUCCAGGGGCUCAGUCUCAUUAGCACUUGCUCCUCAACACACUCAGGCUGCCUCUUCCCAUGUGAUAGCAAGAUGGCGGCAGCUCCACAGGCCUCCAGUGCUCUUAGCAACCCAGCUGCCUUCAUCUCGGCACCAAUAGCUUUUGCCGAAGUUCUUAGGAUCAACCUGUGACCUAAGAUAAAAUCAGUCUAGUCAAGAAAAAAAGAAAAUGGCAAGAAAUUGGGCCAAUUAGGACCUCAGUGCAGGCCAACACUGAUUCCUGCAGUCUUGAGAAUGUGCUCUGAGGUUUUGCAAGAUGGCAGCUGGGUUUAUAGCUUUAAGCCACAAGGGGGCUGGUAAUGACAUCAUUUGUUAGACAGGGAUUAUGAUUGCUGCUGGCAGAAGUGAUGUUGGUUUAUGAAAAAGAGACUGGGUACAGCCUCAGACUCUGGGUAGUAUGGGGCAUGGGGUCUGUUGUAUACAAGGUCAAUAGAGAUUAGUGUUAUUUCAAAGGUCAUCUUUCAUGCGUUUCUGGCCCAAUCCAAAGGUUCAGUAGCAGACACGUCUGAGAUUUGGUUUGACAGUAGUCUCUCAACUAUUUUAAGUGCCCCAAAUAACGCUAUUCCAUUUUAUUUUAUUUUUCUCCUCCACAAAACUUCUUUGGGCUGAUUUGUGACAUGUGCCCAUCCCUAAAUCGGUUACUGCCUCCAGGACAAUGAAUUACUCUGGCCAGGCUGUGGUCAUGUGCCUUCCCGUAAACAAUUACUACCACUGGACUACCCUGAUUGGCCAGGCUUUGGUCACAUGCCUUCUCUAAAACAAUUACUACCUUGCUCCAGGACAAUGAAAUACCCUGAUUGGUCAGGCUGUGGUCAUGUACUCACACCUACAACCAGGGACUGAAAAUAAAGAAAGAUGAAUCCCUAGGGGAAAAUCAGAACAGGGUUCCCAAAAGCAGGGUUGGAAGGGAUGCUGUGUAAGUGAAAACAUCAGAUGUCCAGGAAGUCUUAAAGGUGCUUAUAUGGAGCCACAAUCCACUGCAAGAGAACUGAUGGUUCUGUCCGAUGUGCAAGGCCCCAUUUCCUUCCCCGUGCCCACCAGCAGAGAUCUGAGUACUCUGCAUAACUCCAAGGCCAUCACUGUCUGUUCUGGUUUUUAAGACACAGAUGACAUUUGGAUAUAGCUUGCAGAAGCCCAGUACCAAGGGGAUUCCACCACAAUCAUGCCCUGCCUUUGAAUGUCCUCCCAGACGCAGAGCUCCUGCAAGUUGGGGGUGAGCGACUCGUGGCCCUGUGCUUUGUUUGGCCCUACGUUUUCCAGCUGGGUCUGUGACUUGUGAAUUGAUCUUUUCUUCAAUACAUCCCAUAGAAAAAGAAUGAAAAGCCCUGAAGCUCUCUCUUUUUCUUCCUUCCUUUCUUCCUGUAAUUCACAGGCAGGGCAACUGUGCUUUGUUCAAACAGCAUUCUGCAGUUGCUUGGCAAGUUCUGACAGAGCUGCUUGCUCUAUUCUUCAAGUUCUCUGUUAAGUCAGGGGUAAAGUUAUACCUUGUGGCUAAUUUUCAGACUGUAAACCUUACCCCUUGUUAAAGCUGAAAUCUUAGAUUAAAUCAGCACAAAAAUGCCAGCUCCCCUAAGACCCUUGAAUUAUGGCCCUAUAUUUUUCUUCCUGUCCUGACAUUCAUUUAAGACCUUUCCAACUUUUACAAGUUGCUUUCUCUUAUCCAUUAAGAAGCAGUGUUUUGAACCCUUUUAAAGCAGUUUUCUUUCCUUCUCGAUCACUGUGACCCUUUUCCAUCUACCGUGUGUGUGUGUGUGUGUGUGUGUUUGGGGGUCGGGGGUUGAUGUGUGGUGCUCCGGAUUAGACCUAGGAUUUUGCACAUGCUAGGCCAGUGCUCUACCACUGAGCUACACCCUCAGUUUGCACUCAUUUUAUCUUAUACAUAUUCACAUAGUGUAUUCCUAAAUCCUAAUUGGGUAACUAACUGGCCAUUUUAAAGGUGGGCUUCAGGAAUGUUUAUUUGACCAAUUAAUAGACCUUUCCAUCAUUUGGACUCUAACUAGUAAUGGAGACAAUGCAUUCCUUUCUGUAACAAAGACCCAUAGUUCUGGAGGCCAGAAGUCUGAUACCAUUGUGCCCGCAGAGCCUUCCUCCCUUGGAAACUGCUAGAAAAAGAUGCUGACAGCCAAGGAGUUCCAGGGCUAUUUAUUCUUUUCCUAUGGGAUGCAUUGAAGACAAGACCAAAUCACUUCAGUCUGCCUCCAUCUUCACAUAGCGAUCAUCUUCUCCCUGUGUCUCUGUCUUCACAUAUUUUUCUCUCCUCCUCUUAUAAGAACGGUGGUUAUACUGGAUUAGGGAUAAUCCCCAGGACUUCAUCUUAACUUGAUGGAAUCCACAGUGAACUUUUUCCCCAUUCACAGGAACUGAGGAUUAGGACUUCCACAUUCCUUUUUGGUGUGUCUGUGUGUCAGAGUCGGGGGUGGGUGGACACGGUUUAGCCCAUGGCAGCGAGGAAAGAGAGAAUAAGAGAUAACACAGGAGCAGGGUGUGACUCUCUGAUCUUGGAUAGCCAAAAGGAAGAUCCUCUCUCAUGUUUUCCCAGGAUGUUUACCCAGAAAGAUUUGGGACCCUGAUAGGAACAUCUCAAGAUAGAAGGAAGGGGCCUAGCGGAGGCCGGGGAUCCACUGGAGGUCAAAGUCAAGAAAGUAAACAUGCUCCAAGAUCCACUGUGCACUUAGAUCCUUAAAUAGUGCUGCCAAAUCCUUGCUACUAUUCUCAGCAGAUGGGGAAACUGAGGCUCCAAGUAACUAAUCAGAGUGAAACCAUGUAUCACUGUGAGGAAGAGCAAGACCACCAUUGUCACUUCUAUCUUUUAUAGUUAUUAGUGUGUGCCAUUUGCUUUUGGGAGCUCAGAAAAUGGUACCCCCCAGCGGAGGCCUCAGAAGUAUCCUCUGAAGUGAAUUUUCUUUUUCUCCUGCCCUAUUCUCUGACGCUUCCCCUUCUUCCCUAAAGCAAGCCACAGAAAUUAGAAUUCCUCUUCCCCAAGGUGGGUCAUAGAAACCAGGAUCCAUUUCCUCCAAAGCCAGUCAUAAAAGCUGAGAAUAUUGCUACAACUUUCCCCGACCUUUCUGUAAGACUUGCCGGAGAAAAUAAAGAAAGAUGAAUCCCUAGGGGGACACAGCUUAUUUAAUUAUAGGUCUUAAGAUCUGGUUCUAGAGAAGAUCCUGCCCCUUACCUAGGAGGUCAAGAAGAAUCUAAGCAAAUUUUUUUCCCCCUCAAUCCAUUACCACUAGGUCAUACCUUUUCUACCCAAUCUUAUCUCUACAUGGCCACCCAUGCUUUGUCGAACCUACACUAAAAAUGGAUAGUUUGCCCUGGGUCAUUAGGUCUUCAGUCUGAAGCUUCCUGUUACCCAUAAAAGGACGGUUAAGUAAAUGUCUCAUGCCUUUGCUCCUAUUAACCUGUCUAUUGCCAGGAUCAAAUAUCAAACCCUUCAGUGGGAAAGUUGGAACUUCUCCACAAUACUAAAGACAAAUCUAAAGAGGAAAGCUCUAGUUGUAAGCACUAUACCUAUGAAGAAGCAGAAACUCAGAAAAAUUAAGUCACUUGCCUGAAGUCACACAGAUAUUAACCAGAUGAGCCACAUUUCCAGCCCGGGUCUUUGUGACUCUGGAGGCGCUUCUUACCAUAUUGCCAAUUUGACUUCAAAUUUACAUGGGUUCAGAGUAAGAUGCUGUCAAAAGAACCCUGGUAACUGGACCUGGAGCUUAGCAAAGCAAGCAACAUGUAAAGAGAAUGCUCCUGGGGCAAGAGGCAAGAGCAGAGAGAAAGUGGGUAGCUAAGAGGCAAAGAAAGGUGGGCUCACUGUCAGUGCAAACGUCCACCCUGCACUCCAGGACUGCUUUCACCUGCUCCAUCUAUGCCCCAGUGGAACCUCUGUGGUGUAGACAACUCACUUCUCUAGAGGAGAGGUAAGAGGGAGAAAGCUGGACUUUCCAAACCCCAUGCUUCCCAAGAGAAGUGGGGGGCUAGGCUUGUCAAGCCUGAAAAGAGGAAAUGGGAUGGGCAGGGAGGGUCUUCAGACAUGGAGAACAUUGCUCUUGGAACCGCGGGGACCAUGCCUGUCCUCUUGGAUGCAGCUUCAGGCUCUGUUUGACAAAUAUUUUACUUACCAUGUGACCUGGCUCACAGUGGAACGAAUGGUCCGCUGAUGGGACCCCUGAGAGACUUGAGGACUCACCUAGCAUUCUCUAACGGCUGUACUGUUCACCACCUUGUCUCUGGGAGUGCAGGGCAGGAAGAGUCUCCUUUCUUCUCUCUUUGCUAGGUUCAUUUGUCCCUGGGACAAAAUCCAGCCACAAGAAAAAGUCAGGCAUGUACAUUUGAUGCAAGCUUUCCCUGACACAGAGCCUCAGGAAGGAAAGAGACAAACAGGAAAACUUGUGCAUGUUCAUGCUUCUGUGUGGGGAAGAGUGGAGAGGCACGGAGGAGCAUGAGUGGAAAGGGGGUGGGAUCUGAUGGCAGUGAACUUGGGAUCUCAGCCAUGUCUGUUGUUGAGAUUCUUCUCAGUGUCCCCAGGUCUUCAGAGAUAAGGAUGAUCUUCUCCUCCAGCUUCAAGGAGGCCACCUCUCACACGAGGGUCUUAGGUCCUGCUUCAGAGUUGGGGAAGGUAAGCGCAGCCUUCCUGCUUUCUUAAAGGCAGCGGGUGCCAUGUUUGGAAGUGGUGUGCCCUGAACCUGGUCGGGAGGAAGUCCCACCUCCUUGGCAAGGCUCCUCCUGGUGGGGGAGUGGGGGGUCCACUGCCUGCUCCAGCCUCACUCCCACCACCCCUCACCUUGAACUUCUCACUUCAGGCUGGAGACUCCUGGCCAUUCCCUGAAUAAGCACUGAGCACAGUUUGUCCCCUGACCCUGGCUGGCUCCCUUACUUCCCUUCCCUUCCCUCUUCCUAUCCUUCCUUUCUCGCCUCCCACCCUCACGUGCACAUGCUCUAAGCUCUUCCUGGAACACCUUCCUUCCCCCUUUGCGUCUCCUUCUAGCUCACUCCUUUUUUUUUUUCCCUGCAAAACUCCACUUCUCAAAAUCAAAUGGGCAUCCUGGGAGGUGGUGGGUAUGCUAAUUAGCUUGAGUGGUGAUUAUUCCGCCAAGUAUGCAUACAGUGGUCCAUCAAGUCGUGCAGAAUGUUUUGUCAGUUAUACCUCAGGAAAGUUGGGGCUGGAGGAAAGAUUCCACCUCUCCCAAGAAGCCCUUUGACCCCCUAACCCUGGGUGACAUUCCCUCCCCCAGGCCCCUCAGCCCCCUGAGUGUACAACUAGACUGUGUUUAUAGGUGCGUCCCAACUGCUUAUUGACAUGCCUCUGUGAGAUCAGAGACAGGAUCUUGCUCAGUGUCUUGGCGAAGUCCCUUCAGCACCCAAGCAUCUGGCACCAAGUAGGGAUUCCAUAAGCCAAUGAUCAUGUCGACUGGCUGAGGACCCUGAUGGGAGGACAGCCCCCCUGACCUCCAAGAUCCCACCCACCCCCUGCACCCAUGAGUCUAUAUUUCUGUUCCCACAGUUAGUUGGAGAGGAAAUUGCCAAAGCCAGAUGACGACGAGACUUUCGUUUGGGGUUGCCCAGGUCUGCAAUUUGUAAUCAGGGUGUUUGAAAGACAAACAAAACUGAGAGAAAAACAUAGUUUUGAUGAGGCAAGACUUGCGAAAUGAUUAGUUGUGUAACAGUGAUGGUGGCCUCUGGGACCACAUUUGGCCACGCCCAGAUUAUUAGACUUUGUAUGUAACUGGGUCAGCCUUGUGUAUGGGUUAAGAGGACAAUUGUCAAAAUAGUGAUUUGAGUGUGCAAAGCCCCUUCUCCCUCAAGCUAUUGCUUUAGAGCUCAGCCUGAUGCCAACAUCCUCAUCUUCAACAAUUUUUCUUAAGACUGGACAUAGGCAAAGCUCAGAUGUAAAUAAAGCCACCGCUCAUUGGUGGAUCCCCUUGGACCCUUUGACUGUGGAAGCUGAUUGUCCAUGAGUCUGCUUGUUAGGUCACAUUGUAUCGCCUGGACUAGCUCCCAAAGACUGGGAACUGGCGAUUCAUAAGACCAGUGUGUAAACUGUUCAUUGUCUUUUUGGAGCCAAGAGAUGCUCUGAGUUAAAUCAGGGAAUUUAUCCAAUAGUUACAAAUAAAGAAAUGGAGUUUCAAGAAGUGACUUACCCAAGUUGCAGCUCAUAAAGAUAAGAUAAAUGGCCUGCCAGAGAAUCUUUGUACCUGGUGGUCCUGGCCCCUGCUCUUCUGGUGGAAGCAGGGGGUCCCAGGAUGGGGCUAAGGAGUUGGGAAGUGGAGGGCCGAACACAGCAGGCUGGGUGAACCUUGCCAGGAGAGCCCUUGGGGGCACUGGGAUGCAGGAAGGUGGAGGUGCAGGGCUGGGCGUGGAAACGGAGCUGGUGGUAAGGGGCUGACACAGGGGAAGUCGUGGACUCUCCCCAAGGAGGCCAUGAGGCUGCCCCUGACUAAGGAGCCCUGGGCUGGCUGCUGGCUGCUGGCUGAGCCUGGGCUCCAGAGAAAGAAGGUUUUCACACCUUCUCCACAUGUGCACCCAAGAGCUGGGACCCUGCUGAGCAGAAACCCAGGGCUGCCACCUGUAGCAGCUACUGGCCCGUGAUCAAAGCAAGCCAGGGAGCCUUGAAAGUGUCUUAAACUCCUGUGUGCCCAGCCCUAACCUCCUCCCCCACCAGAGUCCAGGCCAGCUGCAAACAGAGGACCAUCUCUAUGGAGAUGAGUCAAAGAAAGAGCCAAGCCCUCUCUGUCUGCGAAUUCUAGUGUGUCCAUUAUAAUAAGGUUUAUUCUACCCGGUAAACAGAGGGGACUUUGAACUCACCUGGGGGCCUCUGAGCCUUCUUAGAACCACACAACAAAAGCAAACCCUCAGAUAUUUACUUCCUUAAUAAAAAGCAUUGCUCUUGUGGGUGGGUCUUUGUCAACACCGGUCUCCCUCAUUCUUUACUGUUUAAAGGCUAUCUUCAUGAUUAUAUGGAAUAGGAGGGCUGGGGAAGUCAGCUAAACAAGUACCUACGGCAGAAAACUCCCUUGUAGGAAACACAAAAGAUACCCUAGAUAGGCUCAGGUAGUAGUAAAUGCCAUAAAAAAGUUUAAAGUGGGUGACAUGGUGCAGGAGACAAUUUAGAUAAAGGAGAUCUCCAAGUCCCUCGAUGUGCAGGGUCAGAGCCUUCAGGCAAAGACAGCAGGUGCACAGGGUGUUUGAGGAAUAGCAAGGAGGGCCAGUGAAAUUGCAGGUCAUGGACCAGAGGAAGGGACCAAGAGAUGACCGGUAGUUGUUGAUGUCCCAUCUGUCCUGCUACCUGGCCUUUGAUCUCAGCUGAAAAUCCCUUUCACUCAUGCUGCUCCAUUUAUACCCUACUGAGAUUUACAACACAGUGUAUG